Molecule: long non-coding RNA, 1635 nt
Organism: Gavialis gangeticus (Gharial)
Lineage: Eukaryota; Metazoa; Chordata; Crocodylia; Gavialidae
Exons: 2
Source: RefSeq, a predicted model, not a curated record
UUUAGGUACUUUAUUCCCCGAGCCUGCAGUAGUCUAGUAGAUGCAGACUGCAUUAAUACAGACCCUGUUUAGGAACACACACAUCUUACAACCUCCCCUCUCAUCCCCACAGGAAACUCUCAAACACACAAUACAGGCAAAAGAACAAGGCCAGGUAUCAAACAAAGCUUUGCACUCCCAUCCACAACAAGAUCACAUUCAAGUCUCACCUUUAAAGCAAACACUGCGGCUAACGCGGUGCAGCAAUGCUAGACACUGACACCAAACACACAGUUUCCUGAAUACCAGGAAGUCUCGGGUACCGGAGAGAAGAUAUUCUUAGUACAGCUUGCUGUGGUGGUUUUGUAUGACACUGCAGAAGGACCCCUUUCACACAGGUGACAUCCAUCACUAACAUAUUCAGUGAAGUCCCCCUAUUCCUAUUCUGCCUUUUUUUUUUUUUUUCGCACAUGGCUUACAAAUUAGCCAUUACGCACAAAUGCCCUGUAGUCACUGGGUCGCACCAUAGGAGCGUGUAGGUCAGACAUGCUGCAGGCCCACAUUACGUGGCCAGCCUUGUAUACAUACCAGUGACCCAUGUUCAGAGUAACCGAUCUUCUAUCAGAGGCAAUGUCCAUCAGUUGGACGGCUGGCUGCAUUUCAGAACAGCUCUCUCCUUCCCACAUUUAACAUCGACACAUGAUCAUUCAAACAGUUUAGACUUCAAGUCAUUUCGCCAGUAGGCUUCUACUGGAAAUUCCCAAGAACCACCUCCAGGCAAGAGCACAGGAUGCAAAUCGUCUCCCAGCUGUUUGAUUAUAUGGCUGGUAAUUGACAACAUUGAUUUAACAUUUCUUAAUCUACCCAGAAGAGAUUUAACUUAAAAAAAAAAAAGUUAAGAGAAUCAGGUUAAAACGUUCCUGUUUUUGAAACCUGAAGGAAUAAAAUCUGAACAGCAGCAUUUAAAACCAAGAUAACACAAGACAACAUAAAACCUCGCCAAUCCCAACACUGAUACCACAUUGACCUGGGUUGUACAAAUCAUGCCAUCUGAACACUUUGAGCCUUCUGUUACGGUGAUACUGGGGGGGCUUUAAGAACUUAUGGAAACUAAGUCCACUCUGAGACAGCCUUCCCAAAAAAAGAGCCAGCUUCACUGGCAAGAUGCUGGCAUGCAAAGAAGUACAGCCACUGCCAAGCCAGGCAUAUUUUGAUCUCUCUCAAAAAGAAAAAGCAAAUCUGUUUAGUUGCUAAACUGCUUUGGCAUUCGCUAGGUAUAACUUUUCCACAAAGGGACAGGGCUGAACCUGUUUUGGCUACUGCUCUAGCUAGUUAAGCCAAAUGACUGCUAGGUCCUAGGACUGCUUAUUUCAAUGGAGAGCAAUGCUGGCCUCAGAAAGGUCUCCCUUUUACAAGUGUUAGUUGGGCCUCCUGAUGCCGACAGCUUGUUGGCUGCAGCUGUGCAACAGACAAGCCAGAAGGACAAACACCUGAAGUGAAAUCCCCAGCUGUAAGAGCUAUUUUAGAAUAGUUUCACGGUUGGAAGCAGCUCAUGUUUGGCAGAAAUAAGCCAAAUCAGCUUGCUAAGGAUGGAACAAGUGUCAUAGCUCAUAGUUAGGUUCCCACCUUAAAGUACACAGCAGUAAUGUCCAGACC